RNAcentral lists this ribosomal RNA (301 nucleotides) under uncultured bacterium. RNAcentral describes it as "partial 16S ribosomal RNA". It matches the Rfam family "Bacterial small subunit ribosomal RNA", at positions 509 to 807 of the family's 1533-position model. The record is from RNAcentral.
CAGCCGCCACGGUAAUACGAAGGGUGCAAGCGUUAAUCGGAAUUACUGGGCGUAAAGCGUGCGUAGGCGGUUUGUUAAGUCUGUUGUGAAAUCCCCGGGCUCAACCUGGGAAUGGCAAUGGAUACUGGCAAGCUAGAGUGUGUCAGAGGAUGGUGGAAUUCCCGGUGUAGCGGUGAAAUGCGUAGAGAUCGGGAGGAACAUCAGUGGCGAAGGCGGCCAUCUGGGACAACACUGACGCUGAGGCACGAAAGCGUGGGGAGCAAACAGGAUUAGAGACCCGAGUAGUCCCUGUCUCUUAUAC